GGACCUAUAGCUCAAUGGUUAGAGCAACCGGCUCAUAACCGGUCGGUUACUGGUUCGAGUCCAGUUAGGUCCA
RNAcentral lists this transfer RNA (73 nucleotides) under Mycoplasmopsis pullorum. RNAcentral describes it as "Mycoplasma pullorum tRNA". It matches the Rfam family "tRNA". From Rfam's summary of the family: Transfer RNA (tRNA) molecules are approximately 80 nucleotides in length. Their secondary structure includes four short double-helical elements and three loops (D, anti-codon, and T loops). Further hydrogen bonds mediate the characteristic L-shaped molecular structure. tRNAs have two regions of fundamental functional importance: the anti-codon, which is responsible for specific mRNA codon recognition, and the 3' end, to which the tRNAs corresponding amino acid is attached (by aminoacyl-tRNA synthetases). tRNAs cope with the degeneracy of the genetic code in two manners: having more than one tRNA (with a specific anti-codon) for a particular amino acid; and 'wobble' base-pairing, i.e. permitting non-standard base-pairing at the 3rd anti-codon position. The record is from Rfam by way of RNAcentral. Lineage: Bacteria; Bacillati; Mycoplasmatota; Mycoplasmoidales; Metamycoplasmataceae.